RNAcentral lists this transfer RNA (72 nucleotides) under Marmota monax (woodchuck). Its description in RNAcentral is "tRNA.Ala". The stretch from base 5 to 65 matches the Rfam family "tRNA", at positions 6 to 65 of the family's 71-position model. Rfam says of the family: Transfer RNA (tRNA) molecules are approximately 80 nucleotides in length. Their secondary structure includes four short double-helical elements and three loops (D, anti-codon, and T loops). The record is from RNAcentral. Lineage: Eukaryota; Metazoa; Chordata; Mammalia; Rodentia; Sciuridae.
GGGAUGUAGCUCAAUGGUAGAGCACUUAUUUAGCAAGCAUGAAGUCCUGGGUUCAAUCCCCAAUAACUAACA